RNAcentral lists this ribosomal RNA (450 nucleotides) under uncultured bacterium. RNAcentral's name for it is "partial 16S ribosomal RNA". It matches the Rfam family "Bacterial small subunit ribosomal RNA", at positions 354 to 796 of the family's 1533-position model. The record is from RNAcentral.
GUCGAGAAUAAUUCACAAUGGACGAAAGUCUGAUGGUGCAACGCCGCGUGGAGGAUGAAGGUCUUCGGAUUGUAAACUCCUGUCAUCGGGGAGUAAGACCUGGCGGUAAAUAGCCGACAGGGUUGAUAGUACCCGAAGAGGAAGGGACGGCUAACUUCGUGCCAGCAGCCGCGGUAAUACGAAGGUCCCAAGCGUUGUUCGGAAUCACUGGGCGUAAAGGGAGCGUAGGCGGCGUGGUAAGUCAGAUGUGAAAUCCCGGGGCUCAACCCCGGAACUGCAUCCGAUACUGCCAUGCUUGAGGGUUGGAGAGGUAGCUGGAAUUCUCGGUGUAGCAGUGAAAUGCGUGGAUAUCGAGAGGAACACUCGUGGCGAAGGCGAGCUACUGGACAACAUCUGACGCUGAGGCUCGAAGGCCAGGGGAGCAAAAGGGAUUAGAUACCCGUGUAGUCC